RNAcentral lists this ribosomal RNA (497 nucleotides) under uncultured bacterium. Its description in RNAcentral is "partial 16S ribosomal RNA". It matches the Rfam family "Bacterial small subunit ribosomal RNA", at positions 28 to 507 of the family's 1533-position model. The record is from RNAcentral.
GAUGAACGCUGGCGGCGUGCCUAAUACAUGCAAGUCGAACGCUGAAGCUUGGUGCUUGCACCGAGCGGGUGAGUUGCGAACGGGUGAGUAACGCGUAGGUAACCUGCCUCUUAGCGGGGGAUAACUAUUGGAAACGAUAGCUAAUACCGCAUCAAAGUCGAUAUCGCAUGAUAUUGAUUUGAAAGGUGCCAAUGCCUCACUAAGAGAUGGAUCUGCGUUGUAUUAGCUAGUUGGUGAGGUAACGGCUCACCAAGGCGACGAUACAUAGCCGACCUGAGAGGGUGGUCGGCCACACUGGGACUGGAACACGGCCCAGACUCCUACGGGAAGCAGCAGUAGGGAAUCUUCGGCAAUGGGGGCAACCCUGACUGAGCAACGCCGCGUGAGUGAAGGAGGUUUUCGGAUCGGAAAGCUCUGUUGGAAGAGAAGAACGAGUGGGAGAGUGGAAAGUUCACACUGUGACGGUAACUUACCAGAAAGGGACGGCUAACUACGUG